Molecule: non-coding RNA, 240 nt
Organism: Electrophorus electricus (electric eel)
Lineage: Eukaryota; Metazoa; Chordata; Actinopteri; Gymnotiformes; Gymnotidae
Source: RefSeq, a predicted model, not a curated record
CAGGAGUUGAAUCCUCCCCACUUAACUCAGCCUUGACAGGAAAAUGGUUUAGUCUGUCUGCAUCCGUGUCUGCCAUCGUACGUGUGUGUGUGCCCAUCAUAGCCCAUCUCACGAGAGAGGAAUGCUGGACAAGGUCACCUUAUUUGCAUAUUGUGGGUCUUCCAGCCCACUGCUGCACCUAUAUAAAGGCCCCUCCUGGAGGCAGUUGUUGUUGUUGUUGUUGUUGUUGGUGGUGGUGGU